This 1443-nucleotide ribosomal RNA is filed under the name metagenome. RNAcentral describes it as "bacterial SSU rRNA". It matches the Rfam family "Bacterial small subunit ribosomal RNA". The record is from RNAcentral.
AGAGUUUGAUCCUGGCUCAGAACGAACGCUGGCGGCAGGCCUAAUACAUGCAAGUCGAACGCUGUAGCAAUACAGAGUGGCGCACGGGUGAGUAACGCGUGGGAAUGUACCCCAGAGUUCAGAAUAACCACGGGAAACUGUGGCUAAUACUGGAUAUGCUGAGAAGUGAAAGAUUUAUCGCUUUGGGAUCAGCCCGCGUUGGAUUAGCUAGUUGGUGGGGUAACGGCCUACCAAGGCUCCGAUCCAUAGAUGGUCUGAGAGGAUGAUCAUCCACACUGGGACUGAGACACGGCCCAGACUCCUACGGGAAGCAGCAGUAAGGAAUAUUGGACAAUGGGCGCAAGCCUGAUCCAGCCAUGCCGCGUGAGUGAUGAAGGCCUUCGGGUUGUAAAGCUCUUUUGGCGGGGACGAUAAUGACGGUACCCGCAGAAUAAGCCCCGGCUAACUUCGUGCCAGCAGCCGCGGUAAUACGAAGGGGGCGAGCGUUGUUCGGAAUUACUGGGCGUAAAGCGUGUGUAGGUGGUUCGAUAAGUUUGAUGUGAAAGCCCAGGGCUCAACCUUGGAACUGCAUUGAAUACUAUCAGACUAGAGUGGUGGAGAGGAAAGCAGAAUUCCCAGUGUAGAGGUGAAAUUCGUAGAUAUUGGGAGGAAUACCAAUGGCGCAGGCAGCUUUCUGGACACACACUGACACUGAGACACGACAGCGUGGGGAGCAAACAGGAUUAGAUACCCUGGUAGUCCACGCCGUAAACGAUGUACACUUGCCGUCGGGAUCAUAGAUUUCGGUGGCGUAGCUAACGCGAGAAGUGUACCGCCUGGGGAGUACGGCCGCAAGGUUGAAACUCAAUGGAAUUGACGGGGGCCCGCACAAGCGGUGGAGCAUGUGGUUUAAUUCGACGCAACGCGAAGAACCUUACCAGGCCUUGACAUGUCUAUCGUAUUUCCCAGAGAUGGGAGAGUCAGCUCGGCUGGAUAGAACACAGGUGCUGCAUGGCUGUCGUCAGCUCGUGUCGUGAGAUGUUGGGUUAAGUCCCGCAACGAGCGCAACCCUCCUCAUUAGUUGCCAUCAGGUUAAGCUGGGCACUCUAAUGAUACUGCCGGUGACAAGCCGGAGGAAGGCGGGGAUGACGUCAAGUCCUCAUGGCCCUUACGGCCUGGGCUACACACGUGCUACAAUGGCGGUGACAGUGGGGAGCAAUAUAGCAAUAUGGAGCCAAUCCCAAAAAGCCGUCUCAGUUCGGAUUGCACUCUGCAACUCGAGUGCAUGAAGUUGGAAUCGCUAGUAAUCGUGGAUCAGCAUGCCACGGUGAAUACGUUCCCGGGCCUUGUACACACCGCCCGUCACGCCAUGGAAGUUGGUUCAACCUGAAGCAGGUGCGCUAACCGCAAGGAGGCAGCCUACCACGGUUGGGUCGAUGACUGGGGCGAAGUCGUAACAAGGUA